RNAcentral lists this long non-coding RNA (223 nucleotides) under Salvia miltiorrhiza (redroot sage). RNAcentral describes it as "long non-coding RNA (SMIL_LNC013202)". The record is from RNAcentral. Lineage: Eukaryota; Viridiplantae; Streptophyta; Magnoliopsida; Lamiales; Lamiaceae.
AAUAAUGAUCAACAAGGGCUUUCAUAAGGUUGUAAUGAGGGCUCUUUGGUGAGGUGAGGUGUUUUUAGGCAAAUGACUCAUAUCCCACAAUCUAACAAUCACAAUGAACAAGUCAAAUUCACCAUUUCUCUUUUCUAAUCAAUCAAAAACCAAUAUCCCCACAUUUCUUCUUUUCACCCUUAGUGAUACUUAUCAUGACUAUGAUUCAAAAGGCAAAUCACUC